RNAcentral lists this transfer RNA (73 nucleotides) under uncultured phage cr108_1. RNAcentral describes it as "crAssphage cr108_1 tRNA-Thr". It matches the Rfam family "tRNA". Rfam says of the family: Transfer RNA (tRNA) molecules are approximately 80 nucleotides in length. Their secondary structure includes four short double-helical elements and three loops (D, anti-codon, and T loops). Further hydrogen bonds mediate the characteristic L-shaped molecular structure. tRNAs have two regions of fundamental functional importance: the anti-codon, which is responsible for specific mRNA codon recognition, and the 3' end, to which the tRNAs corresponding amino acid is attached (by aminoacyl-tRNA synthetases). tRNAs cope with the degeneracy of the genetic code in two manners: having more than one tRNA (with a specific anti-codon) for a particular amino acid; and 'wobble' base-pairing, i.e. permitting non-standard base-pairing at the 3rd anti-codon position. The record is from RNAcentral. Lineage: Duplodnaviria; Heunggongvirae; Uroviricota; Caudoviricetes; Crassvirales; Steigviridae.
GCUAGUGUAGCUCAACGGUAGAGCAGCUGUUUUGUAAGCAGCAGGUUGGGGGUUCGAAUCCCUUCACUAGCUC